Ornithodoros turicata is the source of this 355-nucleotide long non-coding RNA. RefSeq lists it as uncharacterized. The transcript has 3 exons. Lineage: Eukaryota; Metazoa; Arthropoda; Arachnida; Ixodida; Argasidae. The record is from RefSeq and is a predicted model, not a curated record.
AAACAAUGGAAAACGUCAGGCUCUAUGUGGCAUGCAGUGAUAACCCACAGUUCUUGGACUACGUGGUUGCGUAUUCUGAAUGUGGCAAAUGCGCCAUCACGACGUUACCUACAAUUGGCCCGGACGCCUGUGCAAUGUUCGUGAAUAACCCGGACGUCCCUCCGACUCGCUGCUGUCUCUUUACAUACGCGCUCUUGUGUGGAAGCACCAAGAUCCCAAGCUACGAAAAGGACAAAUGCACCAACUUGUAAACCAUUACUUUGCGUACGUGUCUGCAAGCUGUUCACGGUGUUUGGCCUACGUGAAGCUUUCAAGAUUAAAAGCGCCACCAAGUCUACGCGUCUCACAUUGUAUU